CCUACGGGUGACAGCAGUGAGGAAUAUUGGUCAAUGGGCGCGAGCCUGAACCAGCCAAGUAGCGUGAAGGAUGACUGCCCUACGGGUUGUAAACUUCUUUUAUAAAGGAAUAAAGUGAGGCACGUGUGCCUUUUUGUAUGUACUUUAUGAAUAAGGAUCGGCUAACUCCGUGCCAGCAGCCGCGGUAAUACGGAGGAUCCGAGCGUUAUCCGGAUUUAUUGGGUUUAAAGGGAGCGUAGGUGGGUUGUUAAGUCAGUUGUGAAAGUUUGCGGCUCAACCGUAAAACUGCAAUUGAUACUGGCAGCCUUGAGUAAAGUUGAGGUAGGCGGAAUUCGUGGUGUAGCGGUGAAAUGCUUAGAUAUCACGAAGAACUCCGAUUGCGAAGGCAGCUUACUAAACUGCCACUGACACUGAUGCACGAAAGUGAUGGGAGCAAAAAGGAUUAGAUACCCCAGUAGUC
This 460-nucleotide ribosomal RNA is filed under the name uncultured bacterium. Its description in RNAcentral is "partial 16S ribosomal RNA". It matches the Rfam family "Bacterial small subunit ribosomal RNA", at positions 338 to 795 of the family's 1533-position model. The record is from RNAcentral.